GAGUUUGAUCCUGGCUCAGGACGAACGCUGGCGGCGUGCCUAAUACAUGCAAGUCGAGCGGACUGAAGGGAGCUUGCUCCCGGACGUUAGCGGCGGACGGGUGAGUAACACGUAGGCAACCUGCCUUGUAGACUGGGAUAACUUCGGGAAACCGGAGCUAAUACCGGAUGUUAGAUGAAUCGCGCAUGCGUUUUAUCUUAAAGUUGGCCUCGGCUAACACUACAAGAUGGGCCCGCGGCGCAUUAGCUAGUUGGUGAGAUAAAAGCUCACCAAGGCAACGAUGCGUAGCCGACCUGAGAGGGUGAUCGGCCACACUGGGACUGAGACACGGCCCAGACUCCUACGGGAGGCAGCAGUAGGGAAUCUUCCGCAAUGGACGAAGGUCUGACGGAGCAACGCCGCGUGAACGAAGAAGGUUCUCGGAUCGUAAAGUUCUGUUGUUAGGGAAGAACACGUACCAUUCGAAUAGGGUGGUACCUUGACGGUACCUAACGAGAAAGCCCCGGCUAACUACGUGCCAGCAGCCGCGGUAAUACGUAGGGGGCAAGCGUUGUCCGGAAUUAUUGGGCGUAAAGCGCUCGCAGCGGUUUUUAAGUCUGAUGUGAAAUCUUGCGGCUCACCG
Molecule: ribosomal RNA, 622 nt
Filed under: uncultured Bacillaceae bacterium
Lineage: Bacteria; Bacillati; Bacillota; Bacilli; Caryophanales; Bacillaceae
Description: bacterial SSU rRNA
Rfam family: Bacterial small subunit ribosomal RNA
Source: RNAcentral